AAGAGAAUAAUGAGCCUUCAGUGC
This 24-nucleotide non-coding RNA is filed under the name Gossypium hirsutum (cotton). Lineage: Eukaryota; Viridiplantae; Streptophyta; Magnoliopsida; Malvales; Malvaceae. The record is from RNAcentral.